This 424-nucleotide ribosomal RNA is filed under the name uncultured bacterium. RNAcentral's name for it is "bacterial SSU rRNA". It matches the Rfam family "Bacterial small subunit ribosomal RNA", at positions 355 to 776 of the family's 1533-position model. The record is from RNAcentral.
UAAGGAAUAUUGGACAAUGGGCGCAAGCCUGAUCCAGCCAUGCCGCGUGAAGGAUGAAGGCCCUAUGGGUUGUAAACUUCUUUUGGUAGGGAAAAAACCCCUCGAUGCGUCGGGGGCUGAUGGUACCUACAGAAUAAGGAUCGGCUAACUCCGUGCCAGCAGCCGCGGUAAUACGGAGGAUCCAAGCGUUAUCCGGAUUUAUUGGGUUUAAAGGGUGCGUAGGCGGAUAAAUAAGUCAGUGGUGAAAGCCUGCAGCUUAACUGCAGAACUGCCAUUGAUACUGUUUAUCUUGAAUAUAGUUGAGGUGGGCGGAAUAUGACAUGUAGUGGUGAAAUACUUAGAUAUGUCAUAGAACACCGAUUGCGAAGGCAGCUCACUAAGCUAUGAUUGACGCUGAGGCACGAAAGCGUGGGUAGCAAACAGG